GGAGCUGGUAGCUUUUAGAGAACUGAUGAGUUUUCUGCUUCAUCAUCUGCUUUUGUUUUCUCCAUUUUAGGUUGCCCAAAGCUUGCUGGCCGCUGUGUAGGGCUGGCGAGUGGCCGGGGCUGUCUGAGCCAUGAACAGCUUCAGGGCCACCAUCCUCUUCUGGGCAGUGGCAGCAUGGGCUACAUCAGGCAAGCCUUUGGGACAGACAGAUGAAGCUGGAGUUCAAAAAUGCAAAAAUGCCUUGAAACUGCCUGUCCUGGAAGUCCUACCUGGAGGGGGCUGGGACAAUCUGCGUAAUGUGGACAUGGGACGGGUUAUGGAAUUGACUUACACCAACUGCAGGACAACUGAGGAUGGACAGUAUAUCACCCCUGAUGAAAUCUUCACCAUUCCCCAGAAACAGAGCAACCUGGAGAUGAACUCAGAAAUCCUGGAAUCUUGGGCGAAUUACCAGAGCAGCACCUCCUACUCCAUCAACACAGAUCUCUCUCUUUUUUCCAAAGUCAAUGGCAAGUUUUCCACUGAGUUCCAGAGGAUGAAAACCCUCCAAGUGAAGGACCAAGCUAUAACUACCCGAGUUCAGGUAAGAAACCUCGUCUACACAGUCAAAAUCAACCCAACUGUAGCACUAAGCUCAGGUUUCAGGAAGGAGCUCCUUGACAUCUCUGACCGUCUAGAAAACAACCAGACGAGGAUGGCCACCUACCUGGCAGAACUCCUGGUCCUCAACUAUGGCACCCAUGUCAUCACCAGUGUGGAUGCUGGGGCUGCUCUUAUUCAGGAGGACCACAUCAAGACCUCCUUUCUCCAAGACAGCCAGAGCAGUCGUAGUGCCGUGACUGCCUCUGCUGGACUUGCCUUCCAAAACACCGUGAACUUCAAAUUUGAGGAAAACUAUACGUUGCAGAAUGUCCUCACCAAGAGCUACCUCUCAAACCGAACCAACUCCAGGGUGCAGAGCAUCGGAGGGGUUCCUUUUUACCCAGGCAUCACCCUCCAGGUCUGGCAGCAGGGUAUCACCAACCACCUGGUGGCCAUCGACCGCUCUGGCCUGCCACUGCAUUUCUUCGUCAACCCCAACAUGCUGCCUGACUUGCCAGGCCCCCUGGUGAGGAAGGUGUCAAAGACGGUGGAAACUGCUGUGAAGCGCUAUUACACAUUCAACACCUACCCUGGCUGCACCGAUCUCAAUUCUCCCAACUUCAAUUUUCAGGCCAACACAGAUGAUGGCUCCUGCGAGGGGAAAAUGACCAACUUCUCUCUGGGUGGGGUUUAUCAGGAAUGCACUCAGCUCUCAGGGAGUAGGGAUGUCCUCCUCUGCCAAAAGUUGGAGCAGAAGAAUCCACUCACUGGUGAUUUCUCUUGCCCCUCUGGCUACUCCCCGGUGCACUUGCUAUCCCAGAUCCACGAGGAGGGUUACAACCACCUGGAGUGUCAUCGAAAGUGCACUCUCCUUGUUUUCUGCAAGACCGUGUGUGAAGAUGUGUUCCAGGUGGCAAAGGCUGAAUUCAGAGCUUUUUGGUGUGUGGCCGGUAGCCAAGUACCUGAGAACUCAGGACUGCUUUUCGGAGGCCUCUUCAGCAGCAAGAGCAUAAACCCCAUGACAAAUGCGCAGUCAUGCCCAGCUGGCUACUUUCCCCUGAGACUCUUUGAAAACCUCAAGGUAUGUGUUUCUCAGGACUAUGAGUUGGGAAGCAGGUUUGCGGUCCCCUUUGGUGGGUUCUUUAGCUGCGCAGUUGGGAACCCCCUGGUAGAUCCUGCUAUAUCCAGAGAUUUAGAGGCACCUUCCCUGAAAAAGUGCCCUGGGGGCUUCAGCCAGCACCUAGCCCUCAUCAGCGACGGAUGCCAAGUGUCCUACUGCGUCAAAUCCGGGCUUUUUACAGGAGGGUCCCUGCCCCCUGCCAGGCUCCCACCUUUCACCCGGCCACCCCUCAUGAGUCAGGCUGCCACCAAUACUGUCAUAGUGACCAAUUCUGAGAAUGCGAGAUCCUGGAUUAAAGACUCCCAGACCCACCAGUGGAGGCUGGGAGAGCCGGUAGAGCUGCGGAGGGCCAUGAAUGUCAUCCAUGGGGAUGGUGGUGGUCUGUCAGGAGGGGCUGCAGCUGGGGUCACAGUGGGGGUCACCACCAUUCUGGCUCUUGCUAUCACCCUGGCCAUCUACGGCACCCGGAAGUUCAAGAAGAAAGCAUAUCAGGAAAUUGGGGAAAGGCAGAGUUUGGUUCCAGGCACUGCAGCAACUGGAGACACACCUCACGAAGAGCAGGGGCAGAGUCCAGCUUAAAUCUCUCCCCGAAAAUGGUUUCUCUCAUCUCCAGUGUGGUCACUGCUGACCACUCUGUUUUCCUAAACAUUGAAAUGGCAUGUGCAACCAAAAGUAGGUAUAUUUGUGACUUCUUGUUUAAGUCUCUGGGCCAGAAAAUUCACACUGUUACAUGGAUAAGGGUGAGAUUGGGGAGAGGGAACAGUUGGGAGUAGAAGCAAAAGCCAUUCUGGGACUAAAAUAGGAAACAGAUGCCCUUUCCCAGUGUGUGUUGCUGUCUUCACCUGAAUGCAUUUGUGUAAAAAUAGAGGAGGGAGAAUGCUAACAUUUGGAUUUGGAAGCCAUGAAUUUACUCUGAAGUUUGCAGUUGUUUCCAAUUUGUGAGCUCUAAGAGUUUCUGCCUGUAACAACUACCCUCCCUUUAUUUUGAUUUUUUAAAAGCUGUCUGAAUUUCACACUCUUAGAGCCCAGAAGAGUCCCGAAAAGACACAAGUCUUGCUUGGUUACUGCUUUUUAACUGUGAGGGCUCUAUGUUGACAGACUGUUAUCUACUCAGAGCCACCUCAAACAUCUGAAAAGAAAGAUGUUGCCUGUGCCGAUUCCACUUUUUCCAGCUGCCCCUUGAUGAACACUCCCUUACACCAGACCACUCUUGGACUUCUGACUGGUGUCAUCAAGUCCUCAGAAAAUAUUUUAACUUGUAAACUAUUAGUGGGUCAAAGAGGAAGGGAUGAUUUGGAGACAAGGAGUAAUGAAAGAUGGGUAAAAACUGAAAAAAUUCCGGUGCUGAGUACUACCGCUUUCAUCUUCCACGGAUGGUCAUGACCUUUCCUGUCCUCCUGUUACAUGAACACACACACACACACACACACACACACACACACACUCCACAUUUCAGUAAGUCUGCAUUGUUCUGGGGGUAAAACAGGCAAGAAAUUAAAGUAAGACCACAUUUAAGUAUUACUCUGUAGAAUCAAAACAGAGUAGUUAACACCAAUUAUGCAAGCUACUUUUUUUCCAGCAGAAAGGGAGCUGACAUGAUCAAAUCCAUGUUUUCAAAUGAACUGAAAAAGUCAUCCAGCACCACUUGUAACCCAUUUAUUUCAGUUCCAGGCCGAGAGCCCUGGGACAUCUAGCAGGAUGCAUAAUUGUCAUCUGGCAAUAGUUGGGACUUUGCUCAAUUUUAAUACCAAUCUCUCCUGAUUGCAAUUACCUCCACUACUUUCAUGAUCCCCUACAAUAUUUUUUAAAAUAAUACAUUUAUUCACUGAAUCAAAUGUCAUUAGUGAGUUAUCUUCUGUGGAGGAUGACUGUUCUCUUUGUUAAUGUUCACAAUCAAAAUCUUGGGCUGAGAAGAGGCCCUUCACCAACGAGUCUGAAGCAUCACAGCGUGUGGGAAGGUGGGAACCAGGAUCCCCAUUCAUUUCCAACUGAGACACAGAGAAGUGAGUCACAGAAUUUGAGCCCUGCUCUCUUGACUGCCCAGCCAGGGACACUGAUUUCUUUAAUGUCUUCACUUAAUCCUGCCUCUUAAGCAUUAAAACAUUCUCCUAAACCUCUGAGUGUUUUGUGGGUUCUGGGUGUUUUGUACGUUUUAGCCAAGUUAACCACUUGUCUGCAAAUACUGACUUUCCUAUGAAUUCUUUGAAGAUUAUUGAGUCAGAAAGGAAAAAUACAGCCCCAAAUUCCCAGGCUUUUAAUGCACUAACCGUGUAUUGAAAUGAAAAGUUCCUUACAAACCUAUAUUCCUACCAACAAGAUUGCACAUAAAUAUACAUUAAAAUAUGUACUAAGGAACCCUCUGUCCAACAGCUCAUGCAUGUGAAGUUAGAACAUGGGAGUCUGCCGGUUGCAUUCAUCAAAUCAUUUUGCAGAGUCAGAUCCCAGAUGGAAGAGCUCACAGGCUCUGCCUUCCAAGUCCUGGGUUCCUAACUGGUGGUCUUAGGCUGGGGUCUGUGGGGAGACCAACCCUGGCUUCCAAGAAAACCUCAUCCCAUGGACUAUCAGAAAUAGACACAGAUUUGGGUGACAAAGGUGGCUCUGCAUUUGCAUUUUAUUUUUGUGUUCUUGUCAGUUUGGGGAUGAUUAAUAUCAAACAUUUAUUUGAGAAA
RNA transcript from Cercocebus atys (sooty mangabey), 4371 nucleotides. It is a transcript of the gene named macrophage-expressed gene 1 protein, with no coding region annotated. The record is from RefSeq and is a predicted model, not a curated record. The transcript has 2 exons. Lineage: Eukaryota; Metazoa; Chordata; Mammalia; Primates; Cercopithecidae.